UUCUGACUUAGAGGCGUUCAG
Molecule: non-coding RNA, 21 nt
Filed under: Arabidopsis thaliana (thale cress)
Lineage: Eukaryota; Viridiplantae; Streptophyta; Magnoliopsida; Brassicales; Brassicaceae
Also listed under: 1 other name
Source: RNAcentral